RNAcentral lists this ribosomal RNA (739 nucleotides) under Alaria americana. RNAcentral describes it as "small subunit ribosomal RNA". The record is from RNAcentral. Lineage: Eukaryota; Metazoa; Platyhelminthes; Trematoda; Diplostomida; Diplostomidae.
CUUUGGUUUAAUUCUGGCCAUCGGAGGGUUUUUAAUUGUUUUCCACAUAAAUAUGUUAUGUUAGCUUUUUCGUGGAUAGUGUUUUGUUCCUCGAGUUUAGUGGUAAGAUCUUGUUUUAUAUAGUGAUAUAGUUUAGGGCAGUUGUUAUUUGGGGUGGAUAAUUCGCAGUGCCAGCAUCCGCGGUUAUUCUGCUUAGCCCCACUCUCUUUUUUUGGUUUAAAUUGUUUUGGUUAGAGAAUGGAAUAGCUGCAAUAGGUUUUUUCCUGCUUGAUAUAUUAAUCAAUUCGCGUUUAGAUUGCUUUUAUAGGAUAGAGAUUAGAGACCUCUUUACUAGGUUUGGAUUUUUUUCCAUGGUUUUAACUAAAAGGAUUUGGCAGCUGAUGAUUUUCGUCCGGGGGAGUGUGCUUUUUAAACAGAUAGUACGCUUAUGAGUUUUCCAAGUUUAGAUUAGUUAGUGUAUAUCCGGUUUAAUAUUUGUGAUUAGUUUCUUAAUAAAUGCAUUAUUAUUAUGAAUUUAAGUCAGGUCGAUGUGCUGCUAAUGGUUUGGGUAAUUGUGCAUUACAUUAUAAAGUUUAGAAUUGUAAGUGGUUUUUAAUUGAUUUAGGACUCGGAAGUAGGAUUUCUUUAGUAUGGAUUUUCGAAUAUGAUUUAGUUGGGGUACACAUCGCCCGUCAGUUUCAAUGUUAAUUGGGAUAAGUCGUAACAUGGUAACGGUUGGGGAACCAGCCGUUAGUUGGUU